CAUCAGAUUUUCUGUUUAUUUUCAAGCCUUCCCAUUGCAUGAAACAUAGUACUGGGCACUGAGUCAGGACUCAGUUAUACUUGUGAGCCCAUGGAGAGGGGCAGACAGCACUGUCCUCAUAGCAGAGAGAGAGAAGCUGAGGUACAGAGGGGUACCUCAGAAGCUCUAGAUGUCUUGGGAUUUUGCUAAAAAUGUAUCUUGACAGGAAGCAACACAAGUAGGUUGAGACGAAGAAGGUAGAGUAACAGCGUUGAGUAGCUAUUUGAACAGGUCCUCAACACAAGAGGGAGGUAGUUUGGUCAGUUAGAGUUCAGGAGGCCACCCCUGGACAGGUCUGGGAACACUGUGGUCUUGCCUCUUACCUCAGAUAUCUUGAGCCUCAGCUCGCUCAGAAUCAGGGUGCUGUAGUUGUCUGUUUUCUGGCUCUGAGGCCCUAGCCUCAAAUUUAAGUCAAGAUAUAGACUGAAUUUCCAUUCUGUUCCAUUUAUACUAUGAAUGAUAUUAAUACUCAUGUUUGCCUAAUGAUAUGUUGGAAUAUUCUCUCUAUUUAAUCUGCAUUAGAGCAGGAUGGGGAGCCAUCUGGCAGUAACUUUUCCUUCUGUCUUUCUUUGUUCACUUACCACUUGUGCCCAAGAAAAACUUUAAAAGAAAAGGAAGUCUUCCUAGGGAUCUAGUUCAAAGCUGUCUGGGAACAUCAACCUGAAACAGCCCUCCACACUCCUCUAGGCCUUUCACCUCCGUCCAAGUAGGGGACCCCAGAGGAGGCUAGAGCAAAAGGGAAAUGCGUCUCUACGCGAUGGGUCCAAGGUCAGUGCCACCAAAGCAAGCUGGGACUAGGUCUCCCACCUCUCAGCUCUUCUGUCUGAGGUGAAACAUCAGAUCCGUUGAGGAUGGACCUUGGGAAGACCUGUGAAUUCCCGUGAGACCUCGCCUCUGGGGAGAUCAUGAAAGCCCUGGGCUCUGGAGUUCUAUAGCCUGGUUUUGAGUCCUGCCUCCACCACUACUAACUGGGACUGUACCGUGGAGGCCUUCUAGUGGUGUGUUGUGAAGUUUCUGAGCAUGGGAUGGUGCGUCAGUUAGGAAGGAAGCUGUCGGGGUAUGAGGGAUGAAAUUUCAUCACAGAUUGAAUCAUAAUGUCAAACUCUCCAGCAAUUUCUGUAUGAUGUGCAUUGAGAUUCAGUGACAUCCUCAGCACUCUUGAGAAAUGGGUUGGGGGAAAGGACCGCGCGUCACUGACUGGGCCAGGUGCUCUGUGGAUUUGAUAGAUGAGGAAAGCAGUUCAGGGAUUAAGAACGUCGUCUUUGGAAAUCAGACAACUCCAACACUGUUAGCCCUGUGAUUUUGUGCUAAUUUAUCAACUUCUGUGAGCUUCAGUUUUCUCAUUUAUAAAAUGGGCGGUCUAAUAGUAUUUACCUCUUAGGGUUAUUGUAAUAAUUAAAUGAAAUAAUGCCUGUAAAGUGCUCAUCACAGUGUCUGUACUAUCCUAAGGGUGUAAUAAAGAUUAGCUAUCACUAUGUGGUUUAUUGGGUUCUCCUUACAUACCUGUAAGGUUAGGUAUAAUUUGCCCUUGUACUGAAUGGACACGGAUGGUCUUGGUCUAAAUUCUUAUUCCAGCUUCUCCAGUUUCACGGUUACCUCCCUCACAGAAGCCUGCUAAGUGCCACUCAACUGCUGCCGUUGUGUGAGGCUGGAACUAGAAUAAGGGAGACAGUUUUUCCCCUCUCUUUGCUCUGAUUUCCCUGCUCCUCACAUCAAAAAUCAAGAUCCACACCAUCGUUCCAGCUUUGCAGGCUCUCUUCACCACCAGGAAGAGUCUACAUGUUUAGGUUCUGGUUUGGGUUUUAAUUUCACGCCUGAUCAUCCAAACGCACAUGUCUGUGCACCAAAUGGAAACCGAAGGUCCUGACGUGUUAAACGGGAGGAUCGGAGAUGUCCGUGUAGAGGUUGGGCGAAGGGAAAGAGGACCUGGGGAUGGGGAGUUUGUAGUAGAGACUAGUUGUGUUCAUUUUUGUCUGCUGCCUUUGAGGUGGGAGUGAGGGGUUAAAGUACCCUGUGACCUCGGGAGAAGCUCCUCAGGGCUGAGGGCGGCCUGCGAAUGACCUCUGCACAGCUCUCUCCCUCACUGCCCUGUCCGGUUUCCCACUAGGUCCUCUUGUUUCUUCCCUCUUGGUGAUUCUCACACCCAGCCUGUUCUUUCCAUUUCCAUCAACUCACCCCUAGAAUAAUUUUUACGAUCUCUCAGACUCUAAUCUUUCUUUCCCCUGCUUUCUGCUGCCAGAUCUGCCUAAAAUACCACUUUGGUAUCAAAGUACCUGCCUAGCAAGGUGAUCUAAUGGAAGAAGGACCAAACAUUGUCUGGAGCCCUGGGUUCUUGUCUCAGCUCUCUCACUCUCUCUUGCUCUGUGACCUCCUGUGUAUGCUCUUCCUCUCAUGACUUCAGUUUCUCUGUCUAUAAAUUGGAAUGUUGGGGGCGGGAUUGAAUUGGCUGAUCCCUAAGGCCCCUUCGGUGCUGGCAUUUCACGUCUCGUUCACUGAGUGGUCAAUCUAAGGCCUCCCUUUUUUCUGUAGAAUUGCAUUUCUCCCAC
Equus asinus (donkey) is the source of this 2585-nucleotide long non-coding RNA. Lineage: Eukaryota; Metazoa; Chordata; Mammalia; Perissodactyla; Equidae. The record is from Ensembl.